AUUACCUGCGGCUGCUGGCACGUAGUUAGCCGGUGCUUAUUCUUCAGUGUACCUGUCAUUAGCCAACCGUAUUAGGAUCAACCGUUUCUUCCCUGACAAAAGAGCUUUACAACCCUGAAGUGCCUUCUUCACUCACGCGGCAUUGCUGGAUCAGGCCUGCGCCCAUUGUCCAAAAUUCCCCACUGCUGCCUCCCGUAGUGCCCCCCGUGCCCCCGCCCCGCCCGCCGCGCGCA
This 233-nucleotide ribosomal RNA is filed under the name uncultured bacterium. RNAcentral's name for it is "partial 16S ribosomal RNA". The record is from RNAcentral.